GAACUGCGAAUGGCUCAUUACACCAGCCUUAAUUUACUUGACCUUGACACCCUACUUGGAUAACUGUGGUAAUUCUAGAGCUAAUACAUGCACCAAAGCUCCAAUCUCCCCAGAGCGGAGCGCAUUUGUUCGCCACAAAACCAAGCGCCUCAGGGCGUUCAGUGUUGACUCAGAACAACUAAGCUGAUCGCACGGUCUUGCACCGGCGACGUGUCUUUCAAGUGUCUGCCUUAUCAACUUUCGAUGGUAGUGUAUCUGACUACCAUGGUGGUGACGGGUAACGGAGGAUAAGGGUUCGACUCCGGAGAAGGGGCCUGAGAAAUGGCCACUACGUCUAAGGAUGGCAGCAGGCGCGCAAAUUACCCACUCUCGACGCGAGGAGGUAGUGACGAGAAAUAACGAGACCGUUCUCAUCUGAGGCCGGUCAUCGGAAUGGGUACAAUUUAAACCCUUUAACGAGUAUCUAUGAGAGGGCAAGUCUGGUGCCAGCAGCCGCGGUAAUUCCAGCUCUCAAAAUGCAUAGAAUUAUUGCUGCGGUUAAAAAGCUCGUAGUUGGAUCUGUGCUGAGCGACCGGUCUGCCCACUGGGCACGCACUGGCUCGCCCGGCUUUCCCUGCCGGUCUCUCUCUGACGUUGGUUUUAACCGGCUGGCGUCAGUGGGCUGGCGAGUUUACUUUGAACAAAUCAGAGUGCUUCAAACAGGCGUCUCGCCUGAAUGUUCGUGCAUGGAAUAAUAGAAGAGGAUCACGGUCCGAUUUUAUUGGUUUUGCUGACCGAGAUAAUGGUUAACAGAGACAAACGGGGCCAUUCGUAUUGCUACGUGAGAGGUGAAAUUCUUGGACCGUAGCAAGACGGACUACAGCGAAAGCAUUUGGCAAGAAUGUCUUCAUUAAUCAAGAACGAAAGUCAGAGGUUCGAAGGCGAUCAGAUACCGCCCUAGUUCUGACCGUAAACGAUGCCAACUAGCGAUCCGCCGGCGGAUUCAUUCGCCCUGGUGGGGAGCUUCCCGGAAACGAAAGUCUUCCGGUUCCGGGGGAAGUAUGGUUGCAAAGCUGAAACUUAAAGGAAUUGACGGAAGGGCACCACCAGGAGUGGAGCCUGCGGCUUAAUUUGACUCAACACGGGGAAACUCACCCGGCCCGGACACCGUAAGGAUUGACAGAUUGAUAGCUUUUUCAUGAUUCGGUGGAUGGUGGUGCAUGGCCGUUCUUAGUUCGUGGAGCGAUUUGUCUGGUUUAUUCCGAUAACGAGCGAGACUCUGGCCUACUAAAUAGUUGGCACAUUGCCACUGUGUGCACAACUUCUUAGAGGGAUUUUCGGUGUUCAGCCGCACGAAAUUGAGCAAUAACAGGUCUGUGAUGCCCUUAGAUGUCCGGGGCUGCACGCGCGCUACACUGGCAAAAUCAGCGUGCUUGUCCUCCCCCGAAAGGGGUUGGUAAACCGAUGAAAAUUUGCCGUGAUUGGGAUCGGACAUUGCAAUUAUUGUCCGUGAACGAGGAAUCCCUUGUAAGGGCGAGUCAUCAACUCGUCCUGAAUACGUCCCUGCCCUUUGUACACACCGCCCGUCGCUGCCCGGGACUGAGCCAUUUCGAGAAAACCGGGGAUUGUUGGCCUGACGGCUCUCGGGUCGUCUAGCCGAUGAGAACCGGCUUAAUCGCACUGGUUUGAACCGGGCAAAAGUCGUAACAAGGUAGCUGUAGGUGAACCUGCAGAAGGAUCA
RNAcentral lists this ribosomal RNA (1720 nucleotides) under Rotylenchulus reniformis. RNAcentral's name for it is "SSU rRNA". It matches the Rfam family "Eukaryotic small subunit ribosomal RNA". Lineage: Eukaryota; Metazoa; Nematoda; Chromadorea; Rhabditida; Hoplolaimidae. The record is from RNAcentral.